UGCCAGCCGCCGCGGUAAUACGGAGGGAUCGAACGUUAAUCGGAAUUACUGGGCGUAAAGCGCGCGUAGGUGGCUUGUUAAGUGGGAUGUGAAAGCCCCGGGCUCAACCUGGGAACUGCAUUCCAAGCUGACAAACUAGAGUACGAUAGAGGGGGGUAGAAUUCAGAGUGUAGCGGUGAAAUGCGUAGAUAUUCUGAGGAAUACCGGUGGCGAAGGCGGCCCCCUGGAUCUGUACUGACACUGAGGUGCGAAAGCGUGGGUAGCGAACAGGAUUAGAUA
RNAcentral lists this ribosomal RNA (279 nucleotides) under uncultured bacterium. RNAcentral describes it as "partial 16S ribosomal RNA". It matches the Rfam family "Bacterial small subunit ribosomal RNA", at positions 506 to 784 of the family's 1533-position model. The record is from RNAcentral.